RNAcentral lists this ribosomal RNA (255 nucleotides) under uncultured bacterium. RNAcentral describes it as "partial 16S ribosomal RNA". It matches the Rfam family "Bacterial small subunit ribosomal RNA", at positions 57 to 305 of the family's 1533-position model. The record is from RNAcentral.
GCAAGUCGAGGGGUAACAGGGUUUAGUUUACUAGACUGCUGACGACCGGCGCACGGGUGAGUAACGCGUAUACAAUUUACCUUUUACAGGGGAAUAGCCCAGAGAAAUUUGGAUUAAUGCCCCAUAGUAUUAUAGAGUCACCUGGCUUUAUGAUUAAAGUUUCGGCGGUAAAAGAUGAGUAUGCGUCCUAUUAGCUAGAUGGUAAGGUAACGGCUUACCAUGGCGACGAUAGGUAGGGGUCCUGAGAGGAUAGUC